AGAGUUUGAUCCUGGCUCAGAAUGAACGCUGGCGGCAUGCCUAACACAUGCAAGUCGAACGAAUUACCUUCGGGUAGUUAGUGGCGCACGGGUGCGUAACGCGUGGGAAUCUGCCCCUUGGUUCGGAAUAACAGUUGGAAACGACUGCUAAUACCGGAUGACGACGUAAGUCCAAAGAUUUAUCGCCGAGGGAUGAGCCCGCGUAGGAUUAGGUAGUUGGUGUGGUAAAGGCGCACCAAGCCGACGAUCCUUAGCUGGUCUGAGAGGAUGAUCAGCCACACUGGGACUGAGACACGGCCCAGACUCCUACGGGAGGCAGCAGUGGGGAAUAUUGGACAAUGGGCGAAAGCCUGAUCCAGCAAUGCCGCGUGAGUGAUGAAGGCCUUAGGGUUGUAAAGCUCUUUUACCCGGGAUGAUAAUGACAG
This 425-nucleotide ribosomal RNA is filed under the name uncultured Sphingomonas sp. RNAcentral's name for it is "bacterial SSU rRNA". It matches the Rfam family "Bacterial small subunit ribosomal RNA", at positions 8 to 457 of the family's 1533-position model. The record is from RNAcentral. Lineage: Bacteria; Pseudomonadati; Pseudomonadota; Alphaproteobacteria; Sphingomonadales; Sphingomonadaceae.